Molecule: long non-coding RNA, 13089 nt
Filed under: Tokudaia muenninki (Okinawa island spiny rat)
Lineage: Eukaryota; Metazoa; Chordata; Mammalia; Rodentia; Muridae
Description: XIST
Rfam family: X-chromosome inactivation gene exon 4 (bases 9916-10040)
Source: RNAcentral
GCAACGGCUUGCUGCAGCCAUAUUUGCCGGCUUGCUGCAGCCAUAUUUGCUCGUCUCCCGUGGAUGUGAGGUUUCUCAGUGGUUUCUCUCCAUCUGAGGGGCUUUUGGGGGAACAUUUUUAGUUCCCCUACCACCAUGCCUUAUGGUGUAUUUAAGAAAACAUAUCAAAAUUCCAUAUUUUUGACAUUUUGGUAUGUUCUUGUACGGUUUUCUUGACACGUCCUCCAUAUUUUUUGAUAUGCGUAAUAUUUUUAGUCAAUUUUUCAUUUUUAAGGAAUAUUUCCUUGUGCAUUUUGGUUGACUCCUGUGUACGGUGGACUUACCUUUCUUUCAGGUUUCUGCAUUUUUGCCCAUCGGGGCCACGGAUACCUGUAUGUCCUCCCCACCGUUCCAUGCCCAACGGGGCUUUGGAUACGUACCUGCCUUUUAAUUCUUUUUUUCUUCUUCUUCUUAUUUCUUCUAAACUUGCCCAUCUGGGCUGUGGAUACCUGCUUUUAUUCUUUUUUUUCUUCUCCUUAGCCCAUCGGGGCCAUGGAUACCUGCUUUUUAUCCAAAAAAACGCUUAUUUCUCGGUCCAUCGGGACCUCGGAUACCUGCGUUUAAUCUUUUUCCCAUGCCCAACGGGGCCUCGGAUACCUGCUUUAUUUUUUUUUCUUUUGCUUUUGCCCAUCGGGGCUGUGGAUACCUGCUUUAAUUUUUUUUUUUUCACGGCCCAUCGGGGCAUUUGGUGGAUGGAAAUAUGGUUUUGUGAGUUAUUGCACUGCCUGGAAUAUCUAUGCGUCUUAUUCCCGUUUACUGUUGCUGCUGAUCGUUUGGUGCGGUGUGAGUGAACCUAUGGCUUAGAAAAAACGUCUUGGUGCUUAAGCUGAGCGGGUGUUAAAGGGCGUGGAGAUCCCGCGUCCGCCAUUACGGCUUCUGCGUGACAACGGCUAUUCUCGGGCCAGUUACGCCAAGAAUUAGGACGCGGAGGAGCACAGCGAACGGGAUAGAAGCAACUAAGUGCGCUGCGCUAGCUAAAGGCUUUCUUUAUAUGUGCGGGUUCGGACUUGAUUUGUGGCAGCAUUUGAGGAAUGGUGCUAUCCGGAAGUAGAAAGUCAAGGAGCUCUCGUAUAUUCGCGUGUGGUGUCGGGUGAAAGCCGCGGAGGACGAGGGGCUAGGGCUCGGGAUGUGUGUGCAUACGGACCCCUGGCGGGAGUUCCCGUGGCUCUAAGGGCUGCUUAGAGAUCUACAAAAUGGCGGCUCGGGUACCGCACCCGAGGCUCGACAGCCCAACCUUUGUUUUAACGCGUAGCAAUGGAAAUAGGACACUUAGGUCAUACAAGGAAAGAUGGCGGCUCAAGCUCUUGCUGCGGUAUAACGCAGAGAGCUUUGUUUUUCACAUGUCAGCUUCAUGGCUGAGUUAGCCUGGAGAUGUGGCACAUGCUCUUGAGUGUGUCUACGAUGGCGGUUGUCAUGUGAUCAGCCCUCGAGGGGUUUCUUUUCGUGAAUUUUUGGCGGGCUUAAGCCACUUGGCGGGCUUUGCCCAAGGGUAGACUUGGUGCAUUAUGGUAGUGAGUGGUUGGUUCUACCUUGUGCCACACGAAGCUGAGGCAAGGCUAGGUGGAAGUGUUGGUUGCCACUUGACGUAACUCGUCAGAUAUGGGCACGACUUUGGAAGUGUUGGUGUCCGCUUGACCUAACCAGUUAGAAAUGUGCAUUAUUGCUUGGUGGAGAGGGUGUGAUGACUCGCUGUCCCAUAAGGACUUGAGUUAGCUUAGUACUUCACAUCUGUCCUUAGUCAUCGUUAUUUCGAAGUGCCUGCCCAGGUGGGAGAGCACAUGCUUGCGAUUCUAACACUGAAGUGUUGAAUAACGUCUGAGCCGAUCCGAGGGACUGAGGCUGCGGGUUCCUGACGUCGAUGUGAAUCAUUGAAACCUCAUCUGUUAAAAGAAAGAAAAGUAUUUAAGGCCAUUUUAAGGGCAUUUGACCCAUCCGCUUGCUUUCCUAUUUAUCUAAGUCUCUUACAGUGCUCUUAUACGUGGUGGUGCAAGCUAAGCCUCACCCCAUUCCUUUGUGUUGUUGGUUCCGUGGCCUAAGACUAGUCUACUUACUCCUUGGCCUCCGAUUUAGCCAGCACUGUGAUCUCAAGCGGUUCUCUAAGCCUUCUGUGGGCAUAGUGGUGACCCUGGCCAGAGUCAUAGUAGAUCACCCAUCACUGGCCAAGAGGUAGAAUCCUACCGGAUCUACCCCAUAACUAUUGCUGGGUUGGAUUUUGAUUUAUAUGAAUGUUCUGGAUGUCAACGAUAAGUCUGAUAGUGUGGUUUGCUAGUGUUUGAAUUUAAGACYGAAGUGAUUGUUUUAAAAACGUAUUUAGGAGCCUUGCUUACUUGUAGAACUCAUUUUAGUUACCUAAAGUGAAUUGUUUGGAGUCCUUAAAGUUUUCAAUCAUUUUUUUGGAAKAUGAUACUCAAAUUACUUGGCACUUAAAUGUGCUUUCUUCCAAACUCAUCUAUUGAACUACUCCUAAAAGUUUUGAGUCUUACAACACAGCUAUUGUUAACGUAAAGUUAACGCUAUGACUGGGUAUCAGAAGGAGUAUCUGAAGCUCUACAUCAGUCCAGGCUUUGCUUUUGUUGCUGUCCUUGAUGCCAUAUUGACUAAUGGCUUUACUUGUCGGCAAGAGCCUUCAAGUGUAGUGCUCUGUGUCUCUAUCAGACUUACUAUUGUAAUAGUAAUAUGAACGCCUACAUUUCAACUUUCUGUGCUUUCUUGCCUUUAUGGCAGUCAUGAGUUUCACUCACUUAAUGAGUUUCUCCUCAAAAUCAUCAAAUACUGCUACUGCAAUUGCUGCCCUUGCCCCUGCCCCAGCCCCUGCCCCAGCCCCAGCCCCAGCCCCAGCCCUCACCCCUGCCCCACCCAACCAGCCCAGCCCAGCCCAGCCCUGCCCUAACCCAAUCCUAGCCCCAGGCCCAGAUUCUCUCAGACCUAUCCCCAGUCCACUUCUGCCUAGAGAAAUUCCAAUCUUCAUUGAUGCAACACUAAAAUGCAGAGCCCAUUACUCAGCCUGAAAGACUGAGCUAUCCUAUCCACACCCUAUACCCCUCCAUGCUGACUUUCAGAGUCACAGUUUCACUCACUUAAUGCAUACAGUCCUAUUGCCAAACUGCAGAGCCCAUUACUCAGUCUGUAAGACUGAGCUAUCCUAUCCACACCCUAUACCCCCUCCAUGCUGACUUUCAGAGUCACGAGUUUCAUUUAAUGCAUACAGUCCUAUUGCCAAACUGCAGAGCCCAUUACUCAGUCUGUAAGACUGAGCUGUCCUAUCCACACCCUAUACCCCCUCCAUGCUGACUUUCAGAGUCACGAGUUUCAUUUAAUGCAUACAGUCCUAUUGCCAAACUGCAGAGCCCAUUACUCAGUCUGUAAGACUGAGCUGUCCUAUCCACACCCUAUACCCCCUCCAUGCUGACUUUCAGAGUCACGAGUUUCACUUAAUGCAUACAGUCCUAUUGCCAAAAUUCAGCGCCCAUUACUCAGCCUUAAGACUGAGCUAUCCUAUCCAUACCCUAUACCCCCUCCAUGCUGACUUUCAGAGUCACGAGUUUCACUCACUUAAUGCAUACAGUCCUAUUGCCAAACUUCAGUGCCCAUUACUCAGCCUUAAGACUGAGCUAUCCACACCCCAUACCCCGUCCAUGCUGACUUUCAGAGUCACGAGUUUCACUUAAUGCAUACAGUCCUAUUGCUAAAAUUCAGUGCCCAUUACUCAGCCUGUAAGACUGAGCUAUCCUAUCCAUACCCUAUACCCCCUCCAUGCUGACUUUCAGAGUCACGAGUUUCACUUAAUGCAUACAGUCCUAUUGCCAAAAUGCAGAGCCCAUUACUCAGCCUGUAAGACUGAGCUAUCCUAUCCAUACCCUAUACCCCCUCCAUGCUGACUUUCAGAGUCACGAGUUUCACUUAAUGCAUACAGUCCUAUUGCCAAAAUUCAGCGCCCAUUACUCAGCUUUAAGACUGAGCUAUCCUAUCCAUACCCUAUACCCCCUCCAUGCUGACUUUCAGAGUCACGAGUUUCACUCACUUAAUGCAUACAGUCCUAUUGCCAAACUUCAGUGCCCAUUACUCAGCCUUAAGACUGAGCUAUCCACACCCCAUACCCCGUCCAUGCUGACUUUCAGAGUCACGAGUUUCACUUAAUGCAUACAGUCCUAUUGCUAAAAUUCAGUGCCCAUUACUCAGCCUGUAAGACUGAGCUAUCCUAUCCAUACCCUAUACCCCCUCCAUGCUGACUUUCAGAGUCACGAGUUUCACUUAAUGCAUACAGUCCUAUUGCCAAAAUGCAGAGCCCAUUACUCAGCCUGUAAGACUGAGCUAUCCUAUCCAUACCCUAUACCCCCUCCAUGCUGACUUUCAGAGUCACGAGUUUCACUUAAUGCAUACAGUCCUAUUGCUAAAAUGCAGAGCCCAUUACUCAGCCUGUAAGACUGAGCUAUCCUAUCCAUACCCUAUACCCCCUCCAUGCUGACUUUCAGAGUCACGAGUUUCACUUAAUGCAUACCGUCCUAUUGCCAAACUUCAGUGCCCAUUACUCAGCCUUAAGACUGAGCUAUCCACACCCCAUACCCCGUCCAUGCUGACUUUCAGAGUCACGAGUCUCACUUAAUGCAUACAGUCCUAUUGCCAAACUUCAGCGCCUCAGCGCCCAUUACUCAGCCUGUAAGACUGAGCUAUCCUAUCCAUACCCUAUACCCCCUCCAUGCUGACUUUCAGAGUCAUGAGUUUCACUCACUUAAUGCAUACAGUCCUAUUGCCAAACUUCAGUGCCCAUUACUCAGCCUUAAGACUGAGCUAUCCUAUCCAUACCCUAUACCCCCUCCAAGCUGACUUUUAGAGUCCUACUUUACUUUUGUCCAUGGACAAGCAAACAAAGAACUCUUGUACGUCAUGUUAAUCAAGAUACACCAAGCGAACAAGAGUUUUGUGUCAGAGAAUUGCCACACAGGGAUCAUCUCUCAAGUCUCCUUCCUUAAGGAAGGAAAAACCAUUCUGUCAUUGCUGCAGUAGUCACGGUCCCAAGUUUCUGAGCAGUGUCAAGCCGUCUUUUCUCAUGUGUUGUCUUGAGCACUGAAUAAUUCUAACUGUCCGAAAUUUAUCCGUUGGAUUAGACUCCAACUAGUCCAGCCCCGUGUGCAUUUAACAAACACAGGUCUGCUAUCGGACAGUUAAAGUGCUCAGUCCCAAUUCUCAAGGCAUUGGCCAUUAAAGGGGGUACUAUAUACUGUUUGUUCAUGUGCUGGCACGGGUGCUAUCGCCCCAGGCCACAUCUUUUUAACUGAGGGAGAUACAUCCAUUUGUUCAUGAUAUUGUAUCCUAGUUCCACAGGCUCCCCUUAUUUCAGCCAAAAACCUCUGCACUGGGACAGUUUAUGUGGAUAAUCCUGACUAGGAACUGAAUCUUUUCUCAAGGUCCUGCUUUAUGUAAAGAGGGUGCUGAUUAUUUAAAGCCUCUUAUACAAUUGUGCAAAACUACAGUUCAAGCUCCCUUCUGUUUCUAACCAAGAUCCCAUACCCUCAUACCCUAAUGGGUGACAAUAAAGGGUGCCAACCGAUAAGACCACUUCUCUGUCUGGUCUUUCAGGUGUGCUGGGGGAUCAAACCUAGAGUCUUGAGCACGCUAGUAAAGCACUCUGUCAUAGAGCUACAGCCCCACCGUGUGGUGGUUUGAGAGAACGGUCUCCUAUGUAGCCUGGGCUGGGCAGGCACUCAAUCCUCAGUCCCAGUUAUGGUAAUUACAGGCAUUGAUUGCCACCUGUAAUGUAAACAUUUGUGCCUGGUUUUGUGUGCACAGCUGCAUUUAUCCCUCUUUCUAAGAAUUGGAUAAAGAAACCAAACUAAGUCAUUUGUAUUCAAGAAGACCUUUGAACUCAGACUCAAUCUGUUCUGUUUUUAAUUUCCAGACUGGCCUGGAACUUUAUAUAUAUAUACAGCCCAGGCUAACCUUGAGUUUAGGAUCUAGCCUGUGCUUCACAAGUGUGGGCAUAUCUGGUGUCUACCAUUAUGCCCUGCAAUCCUUCACAUUGUGAAUGUGCAUACUUCAUUUCCCUGUAGUAAUAUGCAUCUGGUAAAAACCUUACCUUAUUUGCAUUGCAGCAGAAGGUGCCCAGUAUUUAAGAUCCUUAACAUAGUAAAUGUGCACAGUGCUGUCUUAACUGUCUUGUACAUAUUCUCAUGUCCACAGUUGUGCCUUUUAGAUCGGGACUCCUGUACUUAUCAAAGCAAAGGGGCUCAUUAAUAUAAAACCUCUUUCACGAGACUAUAGAAUGAAAUGAUUCCAACACUGUCAAUGGUCCUUCAAGGUAAGACUUCUGUCUCUGAUCAUUCAUAUCCUCUUUGCUUUAUGGAAAUAUGUGCUGUUCACUUGAAACCCAUUUCUCAAACUAUUUAUGUACAUACUGGCAAUUUUAGUUUUACUCACUUUGAAGUGUAGAAGUGGUGUUGACCUAUAAGGUCUCAUUUUGUGCCUUGCUAAUAAUGACUGAUUUGUAGUUGUCCUUCUCUUAACUACAGAAGGAAAAUACUCCCUGCCCUUUCAGCAGGGAAUGAACAUUGGCAAAGGGCCUUAUGUUUGAACAGCAUAAAACUGUAACGGCCACAAGCAUGUACCUUGCAUAUUAGUGUGCAUUCACUGCACACGUCUCAUUCCAUUUAGAGAUGAUCCUACUCUCAAACCCUUUUGCAGUACAGCAAGGGUCACUAAUCUUUUGGCCUCUUCAUCUUCCUGGACACUGGAUAAGGAUAUCCCCUCCUUUCCACUCUUUAAUUUCCAGGACUGUCUAUUACUUUAAGAACUUAGUAUUUGCAUAAAGGGUGUGGGUUUAAUUGAUCACACCAAGUCCCUUGAACAUUAUGUACAUAACAGGGACAUGAUUCAUUCAUUUUAAUAAAAUAAAAAUAUUUGGGCAUUUAGUGUGUAAAAUUACAGUUAUCCACACACAACCUUAUUGCUUUAAGGACCAUUGUAUCUCUUUUGCACUACUGCAAGAGAUACUGUUUUUCCCCCAAGGUUCCUGCUAGUGGAACAUUAAUAUACAGUGAAUUUUCCCUUGUCUUUGCCAGUAGACAAAGGCCAUACUCCUUCACCUUUUAUUUGUAGUAUAUCAGGGUUUGCUGAUCAACCAAGGCUGCAUUCUUUUGGACUGUUAUCAUAUAUUAUUAUAUGUACGCAUAUGCACUGCCUCCUGCUCUGUGCACUAGGAAAGGAUCCCACUCACUUCCUUACCACCUUUCAGCAGGAUGUGUUACUGUUCAAGACUUGCAUUUGGAAAGUUCACAUGAACAAUUUCUAAGCACUUUCUUUUGAGAACUACUGUACCCCUUCUUCCCCGCGCUUAAAACAGAAAGAGGUUUUUAACAAGUGCUCUUCAUUUGGACUUAAGUGCAUUAAUGCAGUUGUCCAUCAUUACCUUUGGAAUAGGAUUUUACAUCCUUGUACUCCUUUGACACUAGAGGCACAUUAAUUAUUAAUAUGUACCCUUAUACAUAUGGACUUAUAUAGCAGAAAGGGUUCUGAAAUGCCUACCUUUUGACUGGGGCUGCUGAGUAGUAGUAACUAUUAAUAACCUCAGCAUUUGGAUGAUUACUGUGCAAAAAUGUCAAGGACCUGUGUGCUCUCUUUGCAUACUAUCAAGGCUAUUAAGUCCCAGAAUUGUUAGUAUGCAUAUUUAUAACUAUGAAUGCCUGGAAUACUAUGUCCUCAUAAUCCCCCUUUACAUUAUGGCAGAGGUUGCUGAGUGACCUAAAAUACCCGGGACUGUCAAUGAGCACAGUGACUCUGACAAAUGGCUUGCUUUCUUCUCUAAACUUAUUUUGGGACUAUUAAUAGGCACAAUGGUUUAUUUUCUACUCUGACUUGAGCAAAUCCCCUCCCCUAGUUUCCCUCCCACUGAUAGAAUAAAGUACAGCAGUAUGUACGCCCAACAAUGACCCAUGUUUUGAACCUUUUUGCAUUGCUUUAGUAAAUAAAAUCGUAAAUAGUCACAACCUCACACUUUAUAUGGUCUUCCUUUUGCCCGGCCCCUAGUUUACCCGUUGACUACUCUUCUGCACCACUAAUUCUCACAAACCCAUCAUUAAGAAGAGUUUGUGCCCUUUCCCAAUUCCAUCACUCCAUCCCUUUUGCCUGUAUUGACUGGGCAAAGCCCUUCUCCUGACUUAAAGUCAACAACACCGGAAGCCAUCAGUUCACUCACUUCACAUGGCUACAAUGUUUCGGUUGCCUUCUCCUUGGUUCCAUUGAACAGAGACACCUCGACUUUGUGCAUCAUUCUGGGUAUGUUAAUUACCCAAAACACCCUAUGUGUCAUUAAUAAACUUUGUAUUUAUACACUAAAUAGCAAAAGCAGGCCAAAACUAGGUGGAUGAGCCUUCACUCUUUAACUUGCAUUUCUAAAUUACUCCAGUUCCAAUUGCUGGCACAUUCCAGGGCGAGGAACCAUUCUUGCCUACCUUUAUUAACAUUUUACUGUGUGAAAUAUUGCAGGCAAGUAGCUCAGGGAGUUUGAUCGCCACCUUUUAUUUGGGGCUUUCCUUUACAGUUUGAACUGAAAGUUGUCUCCCAGAGAAGGAAGUUUAGCAUUUUUCUCUCCGUUCUUCUUCCAGGAGCCAACUGCCUGCUUAAAAAAUUUUAAAGUUGAUUUUCUAUAUCGCUACUGCCAAAAAAGUUAUUGAUAAUUUCAUUCCUUAAGAAAGGCAUUUGGAUUGCAAGGUGGAUUGAUUGUGAUGUCAUUAGCUUUUCUGAAGUAAAAAUAGCCAUUUGUAUUAUAUAUCUGAUGACUAAGCAGUGUCUCUCAGUGUACUGAGGGUGACGAGUCUGUGGAUAGAUCACUGCAACUAUUGCAGAAUGUUUUAAGACAAGUGUCUUUGCUUGGUCCAUACUACAAGCUUAACAAAAUGAAAAAGUCAAUCUUUGUGUGGCCUUUAGUAUGAUUAACUUUUAGAAAGACGACCUAAACCUUCUGAUCUUUAUAUUUUGUCUGGCACAUUGAUCACCAGCCCUUACUUAUUUUUAAAAGUGGCUGUGGACAGAUAAAUGUGAGAACAUGUCAAGUCGCUUUGAAAUCAUAGCAUCACAAUUUAUCAUCAUUCUAUCAACAUAAAUCUGACAUAUUUGGAGUAGCUGAAAGACAACUAAAGUUGGACCUAUUUAGAGAUGAUGAACGUGUUUACCCACUUACAUUUAAAAUAUGUGUGCAGAUCUAAUCAUUUCUUUAAACAUAUACUUCAAAGAGAGAUUAUGCUGAGGAAGAAAAAGAACUUUCUCUAGUGUGAAGGGUGCUUUGCGGCCGCCGAGUACUUAAGAUCUUUUUUGAAAGCUAUUGUGUAUGAGUGUGUAUGUGUGUGCAUGCGUGUUCCUGCAAGUAUUCAUCCAUUCACACGGUGAUCAGACAACAAUGGGGGCUGGUCCGUCUAUCUUGUGGGUCCUGGAGAUCAAACUCAGAUCAUCAGGCUUGGCAGCAAGUGCCUUUACCCUCCGUGCCAUCUUGCCAUCCUGUGGCUGUGCGUUUAAUAUGACUUUGCUGAUGAAAAUAGUCAUCACAACAGCAGUUCUCCGGCGUUACUGGAAAUGAAAAAUACUAUUUCUGAGAAUGAUGUUCAAGCGACUCAUCCAGCGCAGGUUAAGCUACUGCUCCUCGACUACAUCAGAUUCUGGCUGGAUGAAUUUGGAAUAUGUUUCGUGACCCUGCCUCAAGAAGAAGGAUUGCCUGGAUUUAGAGGAGUGAAGAGUGCUGGAGAGACCCCAAAGGAAUAAUCCCUUCGUGAGACUGAAGGCCUGCCAGCAGCUGAAACAGGCUGCAUUCCACUUCAGCAGAUCUUCCCUUCAAGCCCUAGCUAAUCUGAACAAAAAACUUGCAGGCCACAUGGAGAAAAAAAAGAUGUCUCCCCAGAAGUAUGGGCUGUUGCUUUGCAGUGCUGGCGACCUAUUCCCUUUGACGAUCCUUAGGUGGAGAUGGGGCAUGAGGAUCCUCCAGGGAAAUAGCUCGCCACCACUGGGCAACAGGCCAAGCCCAGAGUUCAGAGAGACACUUCCCUGAACCCAGCAAGGAAGACAAAGGCUCAGAGACAGCCACCCUUGACCAAAAUAGAAGACCUGCUGUGACAGUGGCACUGACCUUCUGAGGAAGCCAUUCUGCUCUAUUUGUUCUUUCCCUGGAAGCUAGGAGAACUUUGUCAGCUGUUUACAUACUUGAAGAUGCACUGUGCUACCCUACCCAUGGGAUAUAAUACACAAUGCCAUCUACCAAAGAUUACCCUUCCCCAAAGCAGCACAGAAAACUGGGUCUUCGAUCAAGAAAUGUGAACACAACAGAAGGAAGCCAGUUUUACAUACGACCUGAGGAUCAACAUAUCUGACUACAGCAUCUUAAAAGCAAUAGAAUGAGAGUGUGUGUUGUGUUGUGUGUCUAUUUCUUGUGUUAUGUAUCUAUCUUUUCCUUGCUCUGUGUGUCCAGUUCUGUUAUAUCUAUUUCUUCCUCGCUUUGUGUCUGUCUUCCUUGUUUUGCGUAUCUAUCUCUCCCUUGCUGUGGAUCUAAUUCUUUGUUCUAUGUCUUCUAUGCUUUGUGUCUUCUUCCGUCUUCCUUGUUUUAUGUAUCUACUUCCUCCUUGUGUUGUCUAAUUCUUUGUUACAUCUAUCUCUUCCUUGCUUUGUGUGUUUCUCUUCCUUGUUUUAUGUAUCUACUUCUUCCUUGUGUGUCUAAUUCUUUGUUACAUCUAUUUCUUCCUUGCUUCGUGUGUCUGUCUUUCUUGUUUUAUGUAUCUACUUCUUCCUUGUGUUGUGUCUAGUUCUUUGUUAUAUCUAUCUCUUCCUUGCUUUGUGUGUCUAAUUCUUUGUUACAUCCAUUUCUUCCUUGCUUUGUGUGUCUCUCUUCCUUGUUUUAUGUAUCUUCUUCUUCCUGUGUGUCUAAUUCUGUUACAUCUAUUUCUUCCUUGCUUCGUGUGUCUGUCUUUCUUGUUUUAUGUAUCUACUUCUUCCUUGUGUUGUGUCUAGUUCUUUGUUACAUCUAUCUCUUCCUUGCUUUGUGUGUCUAAUUCUUUGUUACAUCCAUUUCUUCCUUGCUUUGUGUGUCUCUCUUCCUUGUUUUAUGUAUCUACUUCCUUGUGUGUCUAAUUCUUUGUUACAUCUAUUUCUUCCUUGCUCUGUGUGUCUAUAUCAUUCUUGCUUUGCGUGUCUGUCUUCCUUGCUUUCUUUGUUUUUUCUGUUUUGAUGUCUGUGUCUUAGUUAAGUGUCUCCUGUCUGCAGUGUGUCUUACCUAUUCCCAUGUAUCUCUUGCAUGUCUUUCUUGUAAAGCUUUGAGUUUUGUUUCACUUUCUGGUGCCUAUGUGCUCUGCCUUGUCUUCAUUAGCUGUUGUUUCUGUUUUUCUAUCUGGUUGCUAUUUCUCUUAGCUCUUCUUACUCCUGCCAUUCAUGACUCGCCUUUGGGUCACACGUUGUAUGCGUCCCUCUCUUUCUUGUGUUCACCUCACUUGCUCUUCAGUUCUCUUCAUCAGUCCUUUGACUCACCAUUUCAGUUUUUUCUGCUGUUUCUAUGCUUAGCGCAUUCUUGCUUACAUUUCCUUCCUGCCUUUAUUAGGCCACUUUCUCUUUUUCCUUCCUUUGUAUUUGUGUCUCUCUGCAUCAUUAUCUCAGCAUCAUUCUGUUGCUUUGUGUUUGCUUGUGUUUCUAUCUUCUGCUUUCCUCCUUUCUGUUCACUUUAAGCAUUUCAGUCUCUUCACAAGUCUGUGUCUCUCUUGUAUUCUAAAGUAAUCCUCUCUUCAAUAUUUCUUUGUGUAAGUACAUGUGUGUGCACGUGUGUGUGUGUAUAUGUGUGUCAUGCAUGUCAGGGGUUUCAUAGCCCCUUCCCAAUAGGUCCAGAAUGUCUCCUGUGGAGCCGUUCCUCACACCAGACUGCCCUGCGAAAUAAUCUAAGACAAAAUACAUCAUUCCAUCCAGUCAGGAUUGAAGUGGAUCUGAAGUGAACUCCCAAGUGGAAGACUUGAGACUUAAAAGGACCAAAAUACAUAGAUGGCCCAUCUUGAACUGGCUGGACAGAAUGCAGACAACUGAAAGGAGAGGGACUGUUUCUACAGAAUACCUGUGACAUCUAAGAAUCGCGAACUGCAUCAUGCGACACAAAACCUAAGCUAAGUCCAAGCAUAAGACCUAAGGACCCAAUCCUAUGGACAGAAUGUCUAAGAGAUAAAGGCCUAUGGCCCAGAACUCUGGAAGGAUAGAAACCCCAAGACCACGAAAGGAAAUUUGAAGAUGAGACCCCCUAAACCCAGCACCCCUUUCCAUUUCUUAUAUUUCUAUUUAAGUUGUCUUCGCUUGAAAUGUAAUUUUCAUUGUUACCAUUCCCCAUGAAGUUAAUAAGUUUUUAGAUUGAUAGUAUUGUGCAGAGGUCUGUUUUAAACUUGAUCAUAGCCAUUUGUUAAACUUUUGAACUUCCAUUUCUCUUCAUAUCUGCUCCACUUGAGACAGAACAAAAUCCAGCCAGUGUAUGUAGUCUGACUUUUGAUAUUCCCCCAGGGAUAAGCAUCCGUAUAGAUACUGUAUUUCCAUCCUCCCUACUUCACAAGCCCUAGGCUGUCAAGAAAAGGAAAGCAUCAGGCUGUUAGGGGAAAACAAUGUCAGGCUAUCUAGAGAAAAUAUGAAGAGUUGUUCCAGACCAAUGAGAAGAAUUAGACAAGCAAUAUGCAGAUGUGCCAACCUUCUGAGAAGCACCAGCCAGCAUCACCUUCCUUCUCUGGGCUUAGUUUCUGUCAUCAGUAUUGCUCCCGAUUAAACACAUCCUACCAUCAUCUGCUUUGGUUACAUAAAUGAACUUGUAAACUAAUCUGUUGUUGAAAGACUGCCGUCAUCGUCCCACCAACUGUGAAAGAACUCUAUACCAAAACACAUGGAAGACACCUGGACUUGUGAACAGAUGUGGAACGCAGAACUUCUGUUGACUCUUGGAUGUUUUGAGGACUUAAAAAAAUGGUGCUUACCAACAUGUCACAAUGAGUUCGUGUGUGGGUGGGUGCGUGCGUGGGUGGGUGGGGUAGUUUGUUGUUAAAUAAAAUGCUUUGUUUUGAA